GAUGAACGCUGGCGGCGUGCCUAAUACAUGCAAGUCGAGCGAACAGAUAAGGAGCUUGCUCCUUUGACGUUAGCGGCGGACGGGUGAGUAACACGUGGGUAACAUACCUAUAAGACUGGAAUAACUCCGGGAAACCGGGGCUAAUGCCGGAUAACAUGUUGAACCGCAUGGUUCUACAGUGAAAGGCGGCUUUGCUGUCACUUAUAGAUGGACCCGCGCCGUAUUAGCUAGUUGGUGAGGUGACGGCUCACCAAGGCAACGAUACGUAGCCGACCUGAGAGGGUGAUCGGCCACACUGGAACUGAGACACGGUCCAGACUCCUACGGGAGGCAGCAGUAGGGAAUCUUCCGCAAUGGGCGAAAGCCUGGCGGAGCAACGCCGCGUGAGUGAUGAAGGUCUUCGGAUCGUAAAACUCUGUUAUUAGGGAAGAACAAAUGCGUAAGUAACUGUGCGCGUCUUGACGGUACCUAAUCAGAAAGCCACGGCUAACUACGUG
RNAcentral lists this ribosomal RNA (497 nucleotides) under uncultured bacterium. RNAcentral's name for it is "partial 16S ribosomal RNA". It matches the Rfam family "Bacterial small subunit ribosomal RNA", at positions 28 to 507 of the family's 1533-position model. The record is from RNAcentral.